CUAAAAGAACAGAACCUGCGGCCAUGGCGAGAGAGGGGAAGGCGCCGGCGGGGAAGGAGCCGGCGGCGGAGGGCGAGGGUGCAGAGCCGAUGCUGCCGGACGAGGGGUGGUGAAGCGUUCAGGAGGUUCCUCGUCCUGGCCGGAGAAGGUUCCGGCAAGGGGUGGUGAAGCGGUCAGGAAGAACCAAGAGGCUCAAUUGAUUCCUCCUGCCUGGCGUGUACAAUCAGUGUAGCAAAGGCGUGGUACCAAAUUCAUCAAAGGGGCCGGCAGUUACUUGCACAGCACAGGUGGCAUCAGCAAUUCAGCACCUUUAAGCUUUGGAGGUCAUUACUGGUUCUCUGAUUUUCUAUGCGUCUCCUGGAAUCGCACCUUCUUGGUUUCCCCUGCUAUGUUAGGCCUUAGCAGUAGGUUGAGGGGAGAGAUGUGGAUUCCCAGCUACUGUAUGUAAGGCGCUACUACCUAAGAGGAUAGUCACACACUACUUUUGAGCCGGGUGUCCGCUUUGCGUUUGUCAUAUGCCUUCUUCGAGUAAUUUGUUCUUGGAGUAAUUUGGUUGCUCGUGA
Molecule: long non-coding RNA, 563 nt
Organism: Brachypodium distachyon (stiff brome)
Lineage: Eukaryota; Viridiplantae; Streptophyta; Magnoliopsida; Poales; Poaceae
Exons: 2
Source: RefSeq, a predicted model, not a curated record